RNAcentral lists this long non-coding RNA (435 nucleotides) under Androctonus crassicauda. The record is from RNAcentral. Lineage: Eukaryota; Metazoa; Arthropoda; Arachnida; Scorpiones; Buthidae.
GAACCGAGGGAACUCGGAGAAUAAAGUUCUAAGUACUGAUACGCUUGUUUUUCCUUUGUUCUAUUUAUACGUUCACGCCUUAUUCGCUUUAACAUGGUGCCGAAAAACCCGACUUAUGAAGUUUAAGAUUCGACAAAGAUUAUAGCAACGGAUCCCUGACUUCACAUAGAUACUGUACAUGCUUUUACUUGUUUCAACGGUCUUUCACUACCACUGUAGAAAUCCAACAUGGCCCUAGUUAAUGACUCUACCGCACUGCUAAAACGAAAACGAACAAUGGUAAGAAGUACUGCCACUAAAUUUAUUAAGCUUGUAAACUCUGUAAACGAUAACACUUUACUCGAAGAUAUAGAACAUUAUAUUAACCGACUUAAUACAUCUCUACUCGAACUCAAACAAUUAGACGAUAACAUCCAUAAUCUGUUACCCGACGCA